ACUUAUGUGCUUGAUCGAGUGCCACCGGGAAUGGUUGAUGUGAUUCUGUCAUAUUGCCACUAUGGGAUUAAUGAUUCGAGCCUUGUGGAUUUGCUUCCUUAUUUGAAGAGUAAGGGUGUUGGGGUGAUUAGUGCGUCUCCUCUUGCGAUGGGGCUUUUGACGGAGAAUGGCCCUCCCGAGUGGCAUCCUGCUUCUCCGGAGCUUAAGUCUGCUUGCAGUGCUGCAGCAGAGUAUUGUAGCAAGAAAGGAAAGAAUAUCUCAAAGAUAGCAGUUCAGUAUAGCUUGGCUACUAAAGAAAUAUCAACUGUGCUCAUUGGCAUGAACUCUGUUAAGCAGGUCGAGGAGAAUGUUGCUGCUGCUCUGGAAUUAUCGAGCUCAG
RNAcentral lists this unclassified non-coding RNA (379 nucleotides) under Hevea brasiliensis (rubber tree). The record is from RNAcentral. Lineage: Eukaryota; Viridiplantae; Streptophyta; Magnoliopsida; Malpighiales; Euphorbiaceae.